GGCUUACCGCCUUUUAAGGGUGAGAGAUUUCAAGAAACAAAAGUUCCGACAGCGCUCCAAAUAGUCUUAACUGUGAGAGGUCCCUGGGGAAUUGGGGCGAUUCGUGAUUGGUGGAAGGGGUUUUCGGGACCGUGACGCUUUCGUGCUGCUCCGAUCGCGACGCGACUAAUCCCAUUCGAUGUAAAAUGAAUUUUUACAUAGGUUAUGACUAAAGUUUUGAAGUGUUAACGAAAAUAACGAGAGAUUGGGAGCAAAAAGGGGAAAAAAAGGGGAAACUUCUAAAAUAGAUUGCACAUACAGUUCCACAAAAUUAGAGGAUGCGACCACCUCUAAUUGAAAGAUGAACCUUUCAUUUAACGGAAAAGACUAAAUUUGCAUUACGUUAUUUGUGGUUCGCGAGAUAUUUGACCAAGAAAAAGACACCCAGAUUGACUUUGAUUUGAUUGUUUGUUGACUAGCAGACGACGAUAACUUUUAUCGGUGUGGCGUGUGGGGACUGACUACUGGGGCGACUGGGUACUCAUUGGAAUUCAUCGAUAUAAUAAUUGUAAUAAGAAAAAAAAACCAUGCCUCCAGUGUCACAACUGAUGAUUCCUUUACCUAUCAAAUGCCAGAUUGGCAGAUAGUUCAAAUGUAGGUGCUGAAUGAACUGGUAAACAUAACAAAUGGAAUUGACAAUAGAUUACAUUUAUCAUCAGACAUCGCUCCCUUUCAGAAAAUUAUGUCUUGAAGAUGACGACAAAUUGCCAGUUGAUUUACAUGUCAUCCUUACUGAUAUCCUAUAACACCAUACUUUAUUCGGCAUGUAAAAAAAGCUUUCCCUUCUGGGUUUCCCUCAUUUAAAAGGCCUUGAUGAUGUAAUGGUGCUAAGCCAAAAUUAUAUCAACGUAGAGAAAUUAAAGCUAUGUAAUUGACAAUUACAUUCAUCAUCAGACGCAUUUCAGUUUCAGAAAAUUUUGUCUUGAAGAUGACAAGUUUUCAGUCAAUUUACAUAAUACCCUAAGUGAUAUCAUAACAGGAGCUUGUCAUUUAGAUAGUUUGUUUCCAUAAUUUAUUUCACAUGAUUGUUUAUAGAGUAAUUUCAUUUUGGUUGUUUUUAUAUUUGUAGGUACUCUAAAGCAAGAGCCUUGACAAGCAAAAUUGUAUUUCAUUCUGGCCCAACAAAUAGUGGGAAAACAUAUCAUGUUCAUGAAUGGUUUUUUAAUUCAAAUAAGAAGUUUAUUGUAAUCCUUUAAUUUCUUUAUUAAAAAUCAGAAGUUUAUUGUGGUCCCUUAAAACUUUUGACAUCUAAGUAAUAAAAUUAAGGAAAUGAGUGCGGUGUCCAAUGUGAUUUACUAUUUGGAGAAUAAAGACAUUUUCAUGCUAA
Long non-coding RNA from Daphnia pulex (common water flea), 1366 nucleotides. RefSeq lists it as uncharacterized. The transcript is spliced from 4 exons. Lineage: Eukaryota; Metazoa; Arthropoda; Branchiopoda; Diplostraca; Daphniidae. The record is from RefSeq and is a predicted model, not a curated record.